RNAcentral lists this ribosomal RNA (253 nucleotides) under uncultured bacterium. Its description in RNAcentral is "partial 16S ribosomal RNA". It matches the Rfam family "Bacterial small subunit ribosomal RNA", at positions 524 to 776 of the family's 1533-position model. The record is from RNAcentral.
GACGAACCGUCCUAACGUUGUUCGGAUUCACUGGGCUUAAAGGGCGCGUAGGCGGACUGGUAAGUCCGGGGUGAAAUCUUUCGGCUCAACCGGAAAAGUGCCUUGGAAACUGCCAGCCUCGAGGGGGGUAGGGGCCUGUGGAACUUCGGGUGGAGCGGUGAAAUGCGUUGAUAUCCGAAGGAACGCCGGUGGCGAAAGCGACGGGCUGGACCCCUUCUGACGCUGAGGCGCGAAAGCCAGGGGAGCAAACGGG